GUUUAUGGUUUGACGAUAUUUGCCAAAAGAGUUAUGAAGUGAGAGAGAAGAAGCCCAUGGGAAUAAUGUUUUCCUUUUUUAUUUUCCUUUUUUUAUGCCAUAUUUUGGUAUUUCAUACGAGACCAACAGAAUUGAAGGCCAUGGAAAGUAUGGAAGGUGAUUCAAAAUUAGAGAUUGUCACAUUGAAGGAGCAAAGACUUUUUUUCUAUUUUUUUUAAGAAAUUUUUGGAAUUUUUGUUUAUAGAUCUUGAGAGCAUUUUUGUUUGCAAUUUUUC
Molecule: unclassified non-coding RNA, 275 nt
Filed under: Hevea brasiliensis (rubber tree)
Lineage: Eukaryota; Viridiplantae; Streptophyta; Magnoliopsida; Malpighiales; Euphorbiaceae
Source: RNAcentral